This 484-nucleotide ribosomal RNA is filed under the name uncultured bacterium. RNAcentral describes it as "partial 16S ribosomal RNA". It matches the Rfam family "Bacterial small subunit ribosomal RNA", at positions 30 to 507 of the family's 1533-position model. The record is from RNAcentral.
AUUGAACGCUGGCGGCAGGCCUAACACAUGCAAGUCGAGCGGAUGAAGGGAGCUUGCUCCUGGAUUCAGCGGCGGACGGGUGAGUAAUGCCUAGGAAUCUGCCUGGUAGUGGGGGAUAACGUCCGGAAACGGGCGCUAAUACCGCAUACGUCCUGAGGGAGAAAGUGGGGGAUCUUCGGACCUCACGCUAUCAGAUGAGCCUAGGUCGGAUUAGCUAGUUGGUGGGGUAAAGGCCUACCAAGGCGACGAUCCGUAACUGGUCUGAGAGGAUGAUCAGUCACACUGGAACUGAGACACGGUCCAGACUCCUACGGGAGGCAGCAGUGGGGAAUAUUGGACAAUGGGCGAAAGCCUGAUGCAGCCAUGCCGCGUGUGUGAAGAAGGUCUUCGGAUUGUAAAGUACUUUAAGUGGGGAGGAAGGGCAGUAAGUUAAUACCUUGCUGUUUUGACGUUACCAACAGAAGAAGCACCGGCUAACUUCGUG